RNAcentral lists this ribosomal RNA (492 nucleotides) under uncultured bacterium. Its description in RNAcentral is "partial 16S ribosomal RNA". It matches the Rfam family "Bacterial small subunit ribosomal RNA", at positions 29 to 507 of the family's 1533-position model. The record is from RNAcentral.
AGUGAACGCUGGCGGUAGGCCUAACACAUGCAAGUCGAACGGCAACACAGUAAGAGCUUGCUCUUACGGGUGGCGAGUGGCGGACGGGUGAGGCAUACAUCGCCAUCUACUUUUUCUUGGGGGAUAACGUAGGGAAACUGACGCUAAUACCGCAUACGACCUACGGCUGAAAGCAGGAGAUCUUCGCACCUUGCGCGACUGAAUGAGCCGAUGUCGGAUUAGCUAGUUGGCGAGGUAACGGCCCACCAAGGCGACGAUGCGUAGCUGGUCUGAGAGGAUGAUCGGCCACACUGGAACUGAGACACGGUCCAGACUCCUACGGGAGGCAGCAGUGGGGAAUCUUGGACAAUGGGCGAAAGCCUGAUCCAGCCAUACCGCGUGGGUGAAGAAGGUCUUCGGGUUGUAAAGCCCUUUUGUUGGGAAAGAAAAGCAGUGGGUUAAUCCAUCGAUGUCCUGACGGUACCCAAAGAAUAAGCACCGGCUAACUUCGUG